UCUUCCUGUUGAGGAAAUCUUUACCAUGCGAGGCAAAGGAAGGAGGACCUCUUCAGAAACGCCAAAGCAGCAUAAGUGAGGACAUCAGUCUUUGGCAGACCUUCCUCUGGUUCUCUUCUGUGUACUACGCAGGCGUCGGGGCAUGUGCGUGUGUUUUAUCUUCAUGGUGGCUGACCCUAUCAAGCAUA
Long non-coding RNA from Alligator sinensis (Chinese alligator), 188 nucleotides. RefSeq lists it as uncharacterized. The record is from RefSeq and is a predicted model, not a curated record. Lineage: Eukaryota; Metazoa; Chordata; Crocodylia; Alligatoridae. The transcript has 3 exons.